This 2039-nucleotide long non-coding RNA is filed under the name Solanum lycopersicum (tomato). RNAcentral's name for it is "long non-coding RNA (SLYC_LNC000414)". The record is from RNAcentral. Lineage: Eukaryota; Viridiplantae; Streptophyta; Magnoliopsida; Solanales; Solanaceae.
AGAAAGUCAAUCCCCUCACAAAUCUGCGGAUCCUAUCUGUCUCAUUUGAUGCUCUGAUACAAUUUUGUCACGAUCCAAAAAUGGGUGUGAUGGCCCUCUUCUUAUCCCACCAAGACAAGUCAGCCUAAAAUCCAAUAUCAAACAAAGUGCGGAAGUAAAUGACAAUUCAACAACAAUUUCUAUUAUGAAAACAAGUCAUAUUAAUUCAAUCCCUAAAACCAGGUUGUCACGUGCACAAGCCUCUUAUGUAAAUAUUAGAAUUGAAAUAAAAUAGAAGUCUAAAAUGAAUUUGUCUUUCAAGUAAAAACAAAGUCAUAAACUAAAGUAGGAAAGUUCGCUGAGAUGACAAGCAGCUACCUCACAACCCUACACAAGAUGCCUCAGAAACAAAAAGAGUGUCAGGUAUCACGAAGAUCCGGGCUCGUAACCUACAAAAAAUUGUUGAAGCAAGGGGUGAGUACCAAACCACGCGGUACCCAACAAGCAAACAUCUAAAGACAAGUUAAGUGAACAAAAUACGAGUACUCCUUACACCCUAUCUAAACCUCCACGCUACAGCCUAACAGUUUAAAGUUUACCAAACACACAACUCAAUAACCACACUCUAUUAAUGUACACAUUCUCAAUAACAACUUAAUAUUCAACAGGCACAAGCUUCACAGAGAAACAAUCACAAGAUCAGCAAAACACGUGUUCAAGUUCAUCAAUAAUAGAAUGUGCAAUGCCAUGAGAUGCAAUGUCAAAUAUAGUGAUGCAUGUCUUUCUUAACGAUACACACCCGCUGUCUCUCAGUCCGGAACCCAUGGGGACAUAUCUGUCCAUGCAUCUGUCGCGGCGCACGACACGACCCUCGAUAAUAGUUACCUUCGCGGUGCGCGUUACGUCCCUCGAACUCGAAAUGGUACAUCCUCUUACCACAUUCAUGUCUCAGAUACAAUUCAAAUGACAUGAUCAAUGAAUAUGAGGAGAUAACCAUUUUGAUAACAAAGCGCAAUUUACAACAAGGAAUACAACACCAACAAAUAAGCAACAAGUCUCCAAGUCAUUCUCAACACUACACAAGGAAAUACACGAAUUUCAUACGCUUAACAAGGGUUUAGAAAUCCACUAGCCUUAGUCAAUCGAUAAUCAGUCUGGGACUUGAGCAUUCCCUUUUCGUUGAACUUGCGAAUCGAUGCAACCUAUUCAAGUAUAUAUAUUCACUAUAAGAUUUCGGUACUAACAAUACCUACAUUUAUUUAUUUAUUUAUUUAUUUGUGUUUAACCUUGAAAUAAAAAUUCACCAAAUCUAUAAUCAAGUUUGUAAUUCUUGAUGUCAAUUAAAAUUUCCUCUCUCAUAAUUUUUUUUUUCACGUUUCUAGCCUAGGAUUCAAUUUGUAUUAUUUCUUUUCCACUAUCAUAAUUCGAAUGACAUUCACUCAACACCAUACAUAUAAUAUUUAAUUACCCAUGCCUACCUAUCAAAAUUAGAUUCACAGUAAAAUGACCUAGAUAUAAACUUUGCACUACUAAUUUAAUGAGAAUAGUGCUAAUGAACCCCUAUUAUUAUUAUUAUUUUGUUCUUCUGUUUAACAAUUUUUUUAUAUUUUUUUUCCAGCCAAUGAUUGGCUCAUUAUGGCCAAUUAUUGGCUUAUUAUGACCAAUCAUUUGCUCAUUAUGGCCAAUCCAAAUAUUCCCCAUUCUUUCUCUUAGUGUCCUGGAAACAUUAACGUACCAGUUAACCACAUAAAAAUUAUUACUACUAAUUUUUCACUCAAUAAUUCUAGCACUUAAUUUAUUAUUUUAUAAGAUUUUUAUUGUUUCUCUAAUGCAAACUAAUAAUAGCCUUCACAUGGCCUUCAAUUAUCACCAUUUACGGCUGCCCCAUAUUGCACUAAAAAGGUACUUUAAUUUCUCAAUAAAUCCAGAUCUUGAAUUCAUAUUAUAUCCCAUUUAUCACACAUAAUUGACAAAUUAAAAAUAAUUAGGUCAAAGUACCAUGGAUUGUUACCUGAAGAUCAAAGAAACCUCUCGUGUGCGUACGCUUAGGUAGGUUUCUG